RNAcentral lists this ribosomal RNA (418 nucleotides) under uncultured bacterium. RNAcentral's name for it is "bacterial SSU rRNA". It matches the Rfam family "Bacterial small subunit ribosomal RNA", at positions 29 to 445 of the family's 1533-position model. The record is from RNAcentral.
AUUGAACGCUGGCGGCAUGCCUAACACAUGCAAGUCGAACGGCAGCACAGCAGUAGCAAUACUGUGGGUGGCGAGUGGCGGACGGGUGAGGAAUACGUCGGAAUCUGCCCAGUCGUGGGGGAUAACUAGCCGAAAGGUUAGCUAAUACCGCAUACGACCGAGAGGUGAAAGCGGGGGACCGCAAGGCCUCGCGCGAUUGGAUGAGCCGACGUCGGAUUAGCUAGUUGGCGGGUAAAGGCCCACCAAGGCGACGAUCCGUAGCUGGUCUGAGAGGAUGAUCAGCCACACUGGAACUGAGACACGGUCCAGACUCCUACGGGAGGCAGCAGUGGGGAAUAUUGGACAAUGGGCGCAAGCCUGAUCCAGCAAUGCCGCGUGUGUGAAGAAGGCCUCGGGUUGUAAGCACUUUAUCUAGACG